This 479-nucleotide ribosomal RNA is filed under the name uncultured bacterium. RNAcentral describes it as "partial 16S ribosomal RNA". It matches the Rfam family "Bacterial small subunit ribosomal RNA", at positions 28 to 507 of the family's 1533-position model. The record is from RNAcentral.
GAUGAACGCUAGCGGGAGGCCUAACACAUGCAAGCCGAGCGGUAUUGUUUCUUCGGAAAUGAGAGAGCGGCGUACGGGUGCGUAACACGUGUGCAACCUGCCUUUAUCUGGGGGAUAGCCUUUCGAAAGGAAGAUUAAUACUCCAUAAUAUAUUGAACGGCAUCGUUUAAUAUUGAAAGCUCCGGCGGAUAGAGAUGGGCACGCGCAAGAUUAGCUAGUUGGUGAGGUAACGGCUCACCAAGGCGAUGAUCUUUAGGGGGCCUGAGAGGGUGAUCCCCCACACUGGUACUGAGACACGGACCAGACUCCUACGGGAGGCAGCAGUGAGGAAUAUUGGUCAAUGGGUGCAAGCCUGAACCAGCCAUCCCGCGUGAAGGACGACUGCCCUAUGGGUUGUAAACUUCUUUUGUAUAGGGAUAAACCUACCCUCGAGAGGGUAGCUGAAGGUACCAUACGAAUAAGCACCGGCUAACUCCGUG